Molecule: ribosomal RNA, 465 nt
Filed under: uncultured bacterium
Lineage: Bacteria
Description: partial 16S ribosomal RNA
Rfam family: Bacterial small subunit ribosomal RNA
Source: RNAcentral
GACGAACGCUGGCGGCGUGCUUAACACAUGCAAGUCGAACGGAAAGGCCCUGCUUGCAGGGUACUCGAGUGGCGAACGGGUGAGUAACACGUGGGUGAUCUGCCCUGCACUUCGGGAUAAGCCUGGGAACCUGGGUCUAAUACCGGAUAGGAGCCAUUUUUAUUGUGAUGGUUGGAAAGUUUUUUCGGUGUAGGAUGAGCUCGCGGCCUAUCAGCUUGUUGGUGGGGUAAUGGCCUACCAAGGCGGCGACGGGUAGCCGGCCUGAGAGGGUGGACGGCCAAAUUGGGAAUGAGAUACGGCCCAGACACCGACGGGAGGAAGAAGUGGGGAAUAUUGCAAAAUGGGCGCAAGCCUGAUGCAGCGAAGCCGCGUGGGGGAUGACGGCCUUCGGGUUGUAAACUCCUUUCGCUAGGGACGAAGCUUUUUGUGACGGUAACUAGAUAAGAAGCACCGGCUAACUACGUG